RNAcentral lists this long non-coding RNA (246 nucleotides) under Nicotiana benthamiana. RNAcentral describes it as "long non-coding RNA (NBEN_LNC009743)". Lineage: Eukaryota; Viridiplantae; Streptophyta; Magnoliopsida; Solanales; Solanaceae. The record is from RNAcentral.
UAGUAAAUCCCGCAGAAAUAACGUAAAUAAUUAUGUAAACAUAAGAAACAUAAAUACAAUCGCAUGCAAUAAUAACAAACAGUAACUACUAUACUAACAACCAUAAGGGGGACAUAAGCUAAAACACAAAUCAUCCAUGAGUAACCUUGCUGUCCCACACCCAACCCCGGGAGAGGCGUGCGAAGCACUCUAUGAGCCCCUAGCCUACAACACUGAUUCUAGACCUCCAGACUCCCCUAUCAANNN